RNAcentral lists this ribosomal RNA (496 nucleotides) under uncultured bacterium. RNAcentral describes it as "partial 16S ribosomal RNA". It matches the Rfam family "Bacterial small subunit ribosomal RNA", at positions 28 to 507 of the family's 1533-position model. The record is from RNAcentral.
GAUGAACGCUGGCGGCGUGCCUAAUACAUGCAAGUCGAGCGAACGGACGAGAAGCUUGCUUCUCUGAUGUUAGCGGCGGACGGGUGAGUAACACGUGGAUAACCUACCUAUAAGACUGGGAUAACUUCGGGAAACCGGAGCUAAUACCGGAUAAUAUUUUGAACCGCAUGGUUCAAAAGUGAAAGACGGUCUUGCUGUCACUUAUAGAUGGAUCCGCGCUGCAUUAGCUAGUUGGUAAGGUAACGGCUUACCAAGGCAACGAUGCAUAGCCGACCUGAGGGGUGAUCGGCCACACUGGAACUGAGACACGGUCCAGACUCCUACGGGAGGCAGCAGUAGGGAAUCUUCCGCAAUGGGCGAAAGCCUGACGGAGCAACGCCGCGUGAGUGAUGAAGGUCUUCGGAUCGUAAAACUCUGUUAUUAGGGAAGAACAUAUGUGUAAGUAACUGUGCACAUCUUGACGGUACCUAAUCAGAAAGCCACGGCUAACUACGUG